GGGGGUUUAGCUCAGCUGGGAGAGCAUCUGCCUUACAAGCAGAGGGUCAUAGGUUCGAGCCCUAUAGGUCCCA
Molecule: transfer RNA, 73 nt
Filed under: Lachnoclostridium sp.
Lineage: Bacteria; Bacillati; Bacillota; Clostridia; Lachnospirales; Lachnospiraceae
Description: tRNA-Val
Rfam family: tRNA
About the family: Transfer RNA (tRNA) molecules are approximately 80 nucleotides in length.
Source: RNAcentral